Spinellus fusiger is the source of this 93-nucleotide non-coding RNA. NCBI's taxonomy places the organism in Eukaryota, Fungi, Mucoromycota, Mucoromycetes, Mucorales, Phycomycetaceae. The record is from the annotation of a GenBank genome assembly.
GCUCCUGUGGCGCAGUAGGUAGCGCAUUGUGCUUAUACUAAAAGGUAUACCAGAGUCACGCAGUGGUCGCGAGUUCGAUCCUCGCCAGGAGCA